UAGAUAUGAAAGAAAUGGUACACUCUAAA
Molecule: non-coding RNA, 29 nt
Filed under: Mus musculus (house mouse)
Lineage: Eukaryota; Metazoa; Chordata; Mammalia; Rodentia; Muridae
Source: RNAcentral